This 253-nucleotide ribosomal RNA is filed under the name uncultured bacterium. RNAcentral describes it as "partial 16S ribosomal RNA". It matches the Rfam family "Bacterial small subunit ribosomal RNA", at positions 524 to 776 of the family's 1533-position model. The record is from RNAcentral.
UACAGAGGGUGCGAGCGUUAAUCGGAAUUACUGGGCGUAAAGCGCACGUAGUCGGCUUUGCAAGUCGGUUGUGAAAUCCCCGGGCUCAACCUGGGAACUGCAUCCGAGACUGCAUUGCUAGAGUAUGGGAGUGGAAAGCGGAAUUUCUGGUGUAGCAGUGAAAUGCGUAGAUAUCAGAAGGAACAUCAGUGGCGAAGGCGGCUUUCUGGACCAAUACUGACGAUCAGGUGCGAAAGCGUGGGGAGCAAACGGG